GCCACCCUAGCUCAAUGGCAGAGCAAUCGCUUCGUAAGUGAUAGGUUAUCGGUUCAACUCCGAUGGGUGGCUC
RNAcentral lists this transfer RNA (73 nucleotides) under Thermoflexales bacterium. Its description in RNAcentral is "tRNA-Thr". It matches the Rfam family "tRNA". Rfam says of the family: Transfer RNA (tRNA) molecules are approximately 80 nucleotides in length. Their secondary structure includes four short double-helical elements and three loops (D, anti-codon, and T loops). The record is from RNAcentral. Lineage: Bacteria; Bacillati; Chloroflexota; Thermoflexia; Thermoflexales.